AGUUGGUGGAGUGAUUUGUCUGGUUAAUUCCGUUAACGAACGAGACCUCAGCCUGCUAAAUAGUUGUACACUACUCUUAGUGCAGCAACUUCUUAGAGGGACUAUGUGCGUUUAGCACAUGGAAGUUUGAGGCAAUAACAGG
RNAcentral lists this ribosomal RNA (142 nucleotides) under Ciliophora sp. RNAcentral's name for it is "partial small subunit ribosomal RNA". It matches the Rfam family "Eukaryotic small subunit ribosomal RNA", at positions 1296 to 1460 of the family's 1831-position model. Lineage: Eukaryota; Ciliophora. The record is from RNAcentral.